This 253-nucleotide ribosomal RNA is filed under the name uncultured bacterium. RNAcentral's name for it is "partial 16S ribosomal RNA". It matches the Rfam family "Bacterial small subunit ribosomal RNA", at positions 524 to 776 of the family's 1533-position model. The record is from RNAcentral.
UACGAAGGGGGCUAGCGUUGCUCGGAAUCACUGGGCGUAAAGGGUGCGUAGGCGGGUUUUUAAGUCAGGGGUGAAAUCCUGGAGCUCAACUCCAGAACUGCCUUUGAUACUGAAGAUCUUGAGUUCGGGAGAGGUGGGUGGAACUGCGAGUGUAGAGGUGAAAUUCGUAGAUAUUCGCAAGAACACCAGUGGCGAAGGCGGCUCACUGGCCCGAUACUGACGCUGAGGCACGAAAGCGUGGGGAGCAAACAGG